RNAcentral lists this long non-coding RNA (561 nucleotides) under Capsicum annuum. RNAcentral's name for it is "long non-coding RNA (CANN_LNC020455)". The record is from RNAcentral. Lineage: Eukaryota; Viridiplantae; Streptophyta; Magnoliopsida; Solanales; Solanaceae.
UACGUUUUAUAAUGUACAUGUUACCACUGUUUCAUAAUAUACAUAAUGUGUGACUCUAACAUACACUAGCGUAUACAUAAACAUCACGAAUAAGAAAAACAAAUUAACAAUACAAUUAAAAUCUAAAUAAACAAAAAUUUAUUUGAAAGAAAAAACAAAACACUGAAAUAAAUCAGUUAGUACUCUUCGAGAGUAUAGCACAACAAUAAACUAGUUCUCCUUUGGAAAAAAAUUACAUGAUCACCUAUUGUGCCCUACAUGGCCGCAUCGUCCACAAUGGUUUGUGCUGGAAGAAAGAGUUUCACUUGAUUUCUUUUUCCUCCUCUUCUUUGGUCUACCUGGAAGUCUUUUGUAUAAUGGUGGCAAUAUUUCUUCCUCAUCUACACUACUGGGAACAUCCCAAUCUUUCUUGUCUGGCAUUGGAACAAUUGAAACUUCAUAUGUCUUGAUCAAUGUGUUUGGCUUGUAGUAUUCUGAACAGUAUUCUCCAAAAUCAUUUACAUAUUUAGUCUUCAAUACAGCUAUAGCGUGAGCACAAGGUAUUUGAUCUAUUUGAANNNN